This 886-nucleotide long non-coding RNA is filed under the name Medicago truncatula (barrel medic). RNAcentral describes it as "lncRNA gene5317". Lineage: Eukaryota; Viridiplantae; Streptophyta; Magnoliopsida; Fabales; Fabaceae. The record is from RNAcentral.
UUUUAUGUUAAUAGUUGGUAAUAUUUUAGCAAAGUACUCAUCUAAGAUUGAUGUUUUUCCUUUUUCUGGUGAAGAUAUUGUAAAAGUGUAGCAUAAAGUCGUGAUGUCGGACUCAAGGCUGCAGUAUCGACUCAGCGUAGAAAAGAAGAAGAAAAAGAAAAAAAAAACUUAAUAAUAAAACUUGCGGUUGUAUUUGGAGUUGUUAACUUUGGCGUAAAAUGAAGAUUACAGGGAAAAUACAGUGACAUGUAAUUGUUACAUUAUAGCUUACCACAUUAUCAAUAUCAAGCUAAGCAGAAAGACCAUAAGCAAUAAAAGAGAUCAUGGGCAAUAAGGUUGGAUCCCAAGAGACUUUGAUAAGACAGUGGUAGAAUAAAGAGGAUGUGCAUCUCUACAUGGAUAUCACGUGGACAAAUACAUAAUCAAAAUCCAACAAGAUCAUUACUACCUUAAUGCCAAUAGAUCACAUGGAUAAAUUAGUAAAUCCUAUGAGAGGAGGAAAGGAAUCUGUUACAACAUCACUCAUACCAGGACCUUAGGUACAGGGAAAAUGCCAUUGAUUCAGAACCAUGGACCCUGGUAUAUCUUGGCGCAGAUGACACUAUUGCGCCACAUAACUCUACAAAACAUCAAACAAAAUGAAGAGUUUCUUCAUACAUAAAGUUGCCAUGCUAAUAAAUUUAAUUGUAAUUGAGUAUGACUACAAGCUUAAACUUGAAGAUGGCUGAAUUGGAAAUCAAUUUGUCCCAUGGGUUUUUCAUUCACAUCUGUCACAAUUGAGUACUCAGCCCUCGCACCUCAAGAUUGAAAAUCAAACGGUUUUGUCUGCCAGACUAUUUGAUUUUGCCAAAUUUGCUUCUCUCCAGAUUGCUUUGACUUCAUCUGU